Molecule: ribosomal RNA, 253 nt
Filed under: uncultured bacterium
Lineage: Bacteria
Description: partial 16S ribosomal RNA
Rfam family: Bacterial small subunit ribosomal RNA
Source: RNAcentral
CACGAACCCGACAAACGUUAUUCGGAAUUAUUGGGCUUAAAGGGUGCGUAGGCGGUGCGGUAAGUGCGGUGUGAAAUCCCACGGCUCAACCGUGGAAUUGCGCUGCAUACUGCCGUGCUGGAGGAAGACAGGGGUAAGCGGAACUGAUGGUGGAGCGGUGAAAUGCGUUGAUAUCAUCAGGAACACCGGUGGCGAAAGCGGCUUACUGGGUCUUUUCUGACGCUGAGGCACGAAAGCUAGGGUAGCGAACGGG